CCUACGGGAGGCUGCAGUGGGGAAUAUUGGGCAAUGGGCGAAAGCCUGACCCAGCGACGCCGCGUGGGUGAUGAAGGCCUUCGGGUUGUAAAGCCCUGUCAUGCGGAAAGAACAGUCUUACGGUUAAUACCCGUGAGAUUUGACGGUACCGCAGGAGGAAGCACCGGCUAACUCCGUGCCAGCAGCCGCGGUAAUACGGAGGGAGCAAGCGUGCUUCGAGAUCGCGUGGCGUAAAGUGAAAGUCAGAUGUGAAAUACUUCGGCUCAACUGAAGAACUGCAUCUGAAACUUCAUAACUAGAGUACAGAAGAGGGAAAUGGAAUUCCCGGUGUAGAGGUGAAAUUCGUAGAUAUCGGGAGGAACACCAGUGGCGAAGGCGAUUUCCUGGUCUGAUACUGACGCUGAGGCGUGAAAGUGUGGGGAGCAAACAGGAUUAGAUACCCGUGUAGUC
RNAcentral lists this ribosomal RNA (450 nucleotides) under uncultured bacterium. RNAcentral describes it as "partial 16S ribosomal RNA". It matches the Rfam family "Bacterial small subunit ribosomal RNA", at positions 338 to 795 of the family's 1533-position model. The record is from RNAcentral.